UCAUAAUCUAAUCCAAAAUUCUCUGUACGAGGGAGAUAGUCUGGAUCUGCCUGUAUUCUUGCUAUUAUCUCACACAGAAUUAUACCAUAGGAGAACACAUCUGCCUUUUCAUUGUAAGGUUCAUCUCUGAGAACUUCUGGUGCCAUCCAGAAAGGUGACCCCACCACUGGUAGCUUCUCACUGUGAUCUGGAAUUUUCUCUGCUAAACCAAAG
This 213-nucleotide long non-coding RNA is filed under the name Gallus gallus (chicken). The record is from RNAcentral. Lineage: Eukaryota; Metazoa; Chordata; Aves; Galliformes; Phasianidae.